RNAcentral lists this non-coding RNA (107 nucleotides) under Corynebacterium mustelae. Its description in RNAcentral is "mraW RNA". It matches the Rfam family "mraW RNA". Lineage: Bacteria; Bacillati; Actinomycetota; Actinomycetes; Mycobacteriales; Corynebacteriaceae. The record is from RNAcentral.
AUUGGGAGUGUGCGUAAGAACUCCACUCGAAGUGAAUAAGUCUGGUGUACUUCCCCGAUAUCAGAAUUUUUUACUCGAGUGGGGCUCUAUGCACACCGCUACAUGUA